This 220-nucleotide unclassified non-coding RNA is filed under the name uncultured Pezizomycetes. RNAcentral's name for it is "sequence contains ITS1". Lineage: Eukaryota; Fungi; Ascomycota; Pezizomycetes. The record is from RNAcentral.
ACAUGCUGGAGUGGCCUUCGGGCCCGUCCUCCAUAAACCCACCUCUGUGUACCUUUUCCUGUUGCUUCCGCGGGCCCUCGGGGUUCGCCCCGGACGUCGGCGAGAAGGUUUCCCUUAGCCGGGAGGCCGAAUCUGUCCGGCGGAGCGUCCGCGGAAGGUAAUCGAACGAAACUCUUUUGAAUUAGAUAUCUUCUGUCUGAACUGAUAACUAUAAAAGUUA